UCUACGGUAAAGUGGAAAGUUGGGUAAUGUAUGUCUCUGUCAGUACAAAUACCUACGGUACACAAACGAUGAAACGUGAAGUUACGGUCUUCUAGAAAUCAUAAUUUUUUGGGAUUUUUAUUUAAAAAUUAACAGGCUAGCUAUUGCUCAGUAUAAGGAAAAAAUUUAUUGCACCCCAAUUUUUUUAUAAAAAACUUUCGCUCUGCUUUUGCUUCUGCACCGCUAGGGGGACUUUUUAAAAACAACAAUGCUGUGACUGAUUGUACUGUCUACAGUGUACUGCCAUGUUAAGUGAUUAUUUGUGAUUAUUAGCCCAAAGGAAAUAGAGCCUGCAAGUUGGACAUGUCAUGGGAGCAGUAACUGGAGCUGCCAAAAUUGGUUUCGGGAUAGCCGGACAAGGUCCAGGGCAGGCAACGAUGAACUCUCCGCCGGAAUGCUCCAUCACAAGUUUCGCUUAGCGGUCAUCUAAACACAGAUUUAUAUGUGAUGUAACGUACCCUAUCCAGGUUCAAGUUCGAGAUUUUAGAAGCAGUUUAACGAAUAUCCAGCAGCCUCAUAUAAAUGCAGAUUUCCCACUUCCCAUAUGCAAAUUACUUGAUCUGGAUGAGAUGACUGAUGCAAUGUAACAGAAAAAUGUAACAGAAAAAAGAUUGGAAAUCCCUGUGUUACCAAGCUAUAUAGUUCUUGAAUUACAAACCGAGUGUGGUCUGUGUGGAUGAUUUUUGGGACUCCUGCUAAUAUUAAAAAACCAUCUGGUGUGGUAAUGCCAUUCAGUGCAAACCAUCAAUAUCUUCUUAUCUUCUUUUCUUUCGGCUUCCACAGUCAUUUAUUAAGCUGAUGGUUGGAAGUUGGAACACCAUGUUUGAGGUUUCUCAAGCAAAGGGACACUUAAUCUAUUGCCCAUCUUUAUUCUGGUCGAAAACACUUCGUCGGGCUUUGGUCUCGUGUCCAGAAAAAUCGAAAGUUUACUGCUCGUAACGAUGCUAUGCCUGCCAUACACAUCUCCAGAAAUAGCAGCUGCCCUGGCCCUUGCUGGAACUUAAUUUAGAUUGUGUCCCGCGGACUUCGAAACUUGAAUAAGAAUUUUCAUUUAACUUUUAAAAGUCAACAGAUGCUAACCCGAUGCCACCCGUUUGCGGAUAAGGGGCCUGCUCGUGGAUUCGAUCCACGCCAGGAAAUCUAUCAAGCCCCAGGGGAUCCCACCAAAGUUACUGUUGACGUAGAUCCCAAGUCUAGCUGCGUCUUCAAUUGCUGGAGAACCGAGAGCCUUUAAGCCAUGGAGUGGCUAGAUCUAUAGAGAAGAUCUAUAGAAAAGAUCUAUAGAUAAGAUCUAUAGAUAAGAUCUAUAGAUAAGAUCUAUAGAGAAGAUGUUAAUUUGGCAAUGGCAAAAAAGAAAGUGGGUGGAAAGUGCACCACAGAUCACACUUCAGCAGCUGGGCCGUGGCUAAGGUCAAGGAAAGGCUCAACAUCAGCCUUACAUUUACGACAGUUUUUAUCCAAACCUAUCCUAUCAAUACCCAAACUACUAUCCAAUCUCUGAUAGCCGGACCCCAAAUUUAGCUUAUGACAAACGCUUUUUAUUCGGUUCUUUACCAACAACAACAACUACGACGACAACCACAACAACCACGACAUGCACUGUAUCGACCGCUGCAACCUGUAAUACUACUGGUCGAAAAAAAAGAGCUCUUGAAGAGGACGAGGAAAAUAUUGAACCUUCUCCUGUAAACGAAGUUGAAGCCACAAUUGUUUCCGAGAUGCCAUAUGUAAUCAGGAAAGAACGUAAACCUGAUCCUCAGCUUGCAAACUGGCGUCCUGAUUUUCCAUCAUACGAACUUCGGUCCACAAUCGGCCAACGUCCUUUCUCUAACAACUACAAUCCAUACUUUCGUCGGCCGAUGAUUGUAGGCGAUCCAAAAUAUUUCCUGUAUUAUGGUUACACGACAACAACUACUUCUACAGUAACUACUACAUCUCGGUCAACUCCGAUUUGCUCUCAAGCAAGUAGUUUUAACUCUUGUUAAGCGCUUUUCAAAUCUACGGACAAGCGAGAAGUUUCUAUUAUUCGCAUAUUAACCGAUGUCCAUGAACUAAGGUGUAAGGUACCGAAGUUUAAGGCGAUAAAUAAUUAAUAAUGAAUUAAUUGUAAAGGAAUGAAUAACAUGUUCUUGAGAUUCCUUGGAAAUAAACAGACCAAUGCUGUCAUCAA
Daphnia pulex (common water flea) is the source of this 2209-nucleotide long non-coding RNA. RefSeq lists it as uncharacterized. The record is from RefSeq and is a predicted model, not a curated record. The transcript has 6 exons. NCBI's taxonomy places the organism in Eukaryota, Metazoa, Arthropoda, Branchiopoda, Diplostraca, Daphniidae.